Molecule: ribosomal RNA, 385 nt
Filed under: uncultured bacterium
Lineage: Bacteria
Description: bacterial SSU rRNA
Rfam family: Bacterial small subunit ribosomal RNA
Source: RNAcentral
GACGAACGCUGGCGGCGUGCUUAACACAUGCAAGUCGAGCGGUAAGGCCCUUCGGGUACACGAGCGGCGAACGGGUGAGUAACACGUGGGUGACCUGCCUCUAGCUCUGGGAUAAGCCUGGGAAACUGGGUCUAAUACCGGAUAUGACUCCACGGCGCAUGUUGUGGGGUGGAAAGCCUUGUGUGGCUAGAGAUGGGCCCGCGGCCUAUCAGCUUGCUGGUGGGGUGAUGGCCUACCAAGGCGACGACGGGUAGCCGGCCUGAGAGGGCGACCGGCCACACUGGGACUGAGACACGGCCCAGACUCCUACGGGAGGCAGCAGUGGGGAAUCUUGCGCAAUGGGCGAAAGCCUGACGCAGCGACGCCGCGUGAGGGAUGACGGCCU